CCUACGGGUGGCAGCAGUGGGGAAUAUUGGGCAAUGGGCGCAAGCCUGACCCAGCAACGCCGCGUGAAGGAAGAAGGCUUUCGGGUUGUAAACUUCUUUUCUCAGGGACGAAGCAAGUGACGGUACCUGAGUAAUACGCCACGGCUAACUACGUGCCAGCAGCCGCGGUACUACGUAGGUGGCAAGCGUUAUCCGGAUUUACUGGGUGUAAGGGGCGGGUAGGCGGGACUGCAAGUCAGAUGUGAAAACCCCGGGCUCAACCUGUGACCUGCAUUUGAAACUGUAGUGCUUGAGUACUGGAGAGGCAGACGGAAUUCCUGGUGUAGCGGUGAAAUGCGUAGAGAUUAGGAGGAACACCAGUGGCGAAGGCGGUCUGCUGGACAGCAACUGACGCUGAGGCGCGAAAGCGUGGGGAGCAAACAGGAUUAGAUACCCUUGUAGUC
RNAcentral lists this ribosomal RNA (443 nucleotides) under uncultured bacterium. RNAcentral describes it as "partial 16S ribosomal RNA". It matches the Rfam family "Bacterial small subunit ribosomal RNA", at positions 338 to 795 of the family's 1533-position model. The record is from RNAcentral.